GAUGAAUGCGUGUAACAGGCCUAACACAUGCAAGUGGAAUGCUUAUGCAUGCAAAACUUAGUUUUGCACGGCAUGGGCAUCGCGAACGGGUGAGUAGUACACAAGAAUCUACCACACAGACUGGGAUAAGAUACGAUUGUGUGUUUUGCUUUUGAGCAACCUUGAAAGUGCAAUGCAUGAUUUGUGAAUACCGGAUAACCACUCAGGUCUUUUUUAUUCUAAACAAUAUCUGUUUUGGGAUAGGCAUAGACCGCUGUUUGAUGAGCUUGUGCGGGAUUAGGUAGUUGGAAGGGUAAUAGCCUCCCAAGCCUUUGAUCUCUAACUGGUCUGAGAGGAUGAUCAGUCACACUGGAAUUGAGAACGGUCCAGACACAUUUUAGUGGCAGCAGUGAGGAAUCUUAGACAAUGAACGAAAGUUUGAUCUAGCCUUGUUACGUGGAGGAUGAAGGCUCUUCUGGUCGUAAACUCCUUAUCGUAGUUGGGUAGUUUGCAAAACUAUGUUUUGCAUACAAGAAUGCCCUGG
Molecule: ribosomal RNA, 523 nt
Filed under: uncultured bacterium
Lineage: Bacteria
Description: bacterial SSU rRNA
Rfam family: Bacterial small subunit ribosomal RNA
Source: RNAcentral